UUUUAUCCUCGAUGCGUACGCUGAUCAGAAAGCCAGAUGUGCGCCAAAGAGCAGCGGAAGUGGCGAAUAAUUCCUUUGGUCAGUUCGCGCAGCAUUCAAAUCGCUCCAGUUUUGAUUAGGAUAAAAUGGUAAUUGGAACCUUGGUGCGUACCACUUCGGCUCCAAAUGUGGCACAAAAAUUCACUCUGGGGAGCGAAAAAUCCCAUGGACAACGCCCAGCCAGCCUUUCCCAAGCACCCCGUUUAUUCUCCAUGUCUUCGGAAAAU
Molecule: long non-coding RNA, 266 nt
Organism: Paramacrobiotus metropolitanus
Lineage: Eukaryota; Metazoa; Tardigrada; Eutardigrada; Parachela; Macrobiotidae
Exons: 3
Source: RefSeq, a predicted model, not a curated record